GGAUUGCCANUGGGCGGAAGCCUGAUGCAGCGACGCCGCGUGAGGGAUGACGGCCUUCGGGUUGUAAACCUCUUUCAGCAGGGACGAAGCGCAAGUGACGGUACCUGCAGAAGAAGCGCCGGCCAACUACGUGCCAGCAGCCGCGGUAAGACGUAGGGCGCGAGCGUUGUCCGGAUUUAUUGGGCGUAAAGAGCUCGUAGGCGGCUUGUCGCGUCGACUGUGAAAACCCGCGGCUCAACUGCGGGCCUGCAGUCGAUACGGGCAGGCUAGAGUUCGGUAGGGGAGACUGGAAUUCCUGGUGUAGCGGUGAAAUGCGCAGAUAUCAGGAGGAACACCGGUGGCGAAGGCGGGUCUCUGGGCCGAUACUGACGCUGAGGAGCGAAAGUGUGGGGAGCGAACAGGAUUAGAUACCCUGGUAGUCCACGCUGUAAACGUUGGGCGCUAGGUGUGGGGGGCCUCUCCGGUUCUCUGUGCCGCAGCUAACGCAUUAAGCGCCCCGCCUGGGGAGUACGGCCGCAAGGCUAAAACUCAAAAAAAUUGACGGA
RNAcentral lists this ribosomal RNA (545 nucleotides) under uncultured bacterium. Its description in RNAcentral is "bacterial SSU rRNA". It matches the Rfam family "Bacterial small subunit ribosomal RNA", at positions 359 to 917 of the family's 1533-position model. The record is from RNAcentral.